Long non-coding RNA from Culicoides brevitarsis, 390 nucleotides. RefSeq lists it as uncharacterized. The transcript has 3 exons. The record is from RefSeq and is a predicted model, not a curated record. NCBI's taxonomy places the organism in Eukaryota, Metazoa, Arthropoda, Insecta, Diptera, Ceratopogonidae.
AAAAUAAAAGCCCAGCAUUAAAUAGUACCAUCGCCUUUCUAAGUAUAUAUUCAUAGUAGCCCAACUUUUAUCAAUGUUGAGGGACCAGCUGCCCAACAUAUUAGCUGUGGAAGUCCAACAUAGAUUAAAGGCUGGAGCAACUACUAAUCAUGGUAUUCCAGCUAUUUACAUGCUACAACGCUGAUCUACCAUUAGUAAGGGGUAAGCCAACUCUUAUUAAUGGUACAUAUGCCUUCUCUAGACAAAAAUAAUUCGAUGCAAUUUGUUUGAUAUAAAUAAAAGUUUAUAAAAGAAGUAAGGAUUUUGAACUUUAAAAACUUGAUGAGGAGUGAAAGGGUAUUCAUAACUUUAUAAAGAAACGGUCAUAAAAUUUUGGAAUAAUGUACCUAG